AUGUCCUCAACAGAGAGAGCAAGAAAAGGGGGUGCCAGUGCAGCAGUGGAUGGCCGGUCCUCCCUCCCGCCUCACCUGACGGACACGUGGAUGAGGGAAGCGGGUGCAUCCUUGCCAUGUUCCAUGCCACUUACCUGGAUGUGGGGCUGGUCAUCCAGUCAGAGUGAAGCUGGGUGCUCAGCUGGAUGGUUGGGAGAAAGGAAGCUGUUCCAUUCUCCAUGGUGCGGAGGAGAAGCCAUGCAUCCCGGUAGCUGCACACAGUCUUCUCUCCACCACGAAGGCAGCCAGCCUGGGUACGAAGCCACCAUACGGAGGAAGACAGAGCCAAGAGAAGCUUCAUGCUGGCUCCCCAUCGACCUCUAGAUCGGCUCAAUCCUGCAGUCCCUCCACUGUGGACUUUCCUGGUCCAGGAGCUGAUAAAUUGCUUUAUUUUAAAGCCAUGGUAAAUUGGAUUUUUCUUUUAGUUUGCAGCCCAAAGCAUCUUAACUGCUACCCACAAUUUAUCUCAUCAGAUCUCCAUGACAACCCUGUUAUAAGAUGCUUUUAUUCCCCUUUUACAAUUGGAGAAAUACUCAGAAUGGCUGACCUGCUGUUGACUAGCUAGAUAUGGAAGUCUGGUAGAGUGGAUUUAGGAUUCAAUCAUUGGGGUUCCCCUCUUAGGUCUGUUAUGUAGUGGCUGUUUCCUCAUCUGUAAAAUGAAUAUAGUUUUUUUUUUUUUUUUUAAUCUUUUCUCCCGAGGUUGAUAUGGGGAACUGAAUCAAGUAAGAUUCCUUAGGAGGAAGAUUUCAUGACCAUAAAAUGCUGUGCUGGUGCCCCCCUUGCCUACACCUGGAGCCCACUGCUCCCCGCUAGAAAUUCAUGGUCUUUGCAUUAUUUGGGUUAUUGGUUUAACAGGUCUCAGUGCCAGCUUGUUCUCUGAGACAGGUAUAUACUCUGAUUUCUUGUUUGUACUGACAGUUAGCUUAGUACAUCCUUCCUUCAUGACUAGCAAAGAUCUAAAGUCAAACCUAGCCCAUUACCCAAUGUGUUACAAAUGGGAACUCAGCUGUAUGCCCAUAGAGGCUUUAUUUAUCAGUUGGUAGGCUUGUAGCACUCACACAGACACAUAAACCCCCAAUUCCCCUAGUUUGUUGGGUGCACAGGCCUAUACCAUUUUCCAUGAUUGGUUGGUAGAUUUUCCAUGUUCUGUUAGCAUCCCGAAUGUAUGUUUUGCAUCCUCUGCCUUCACAGAUUAAAAGGAUAAACACAUAUCAUUGUGUAAUGUUCUCAUGUUAGGAAUAACUCAGAGGUAAAAGUCCCUGUAGUUCUCAAGGCUAAUGGAAGUGAAAAACUGUUUAUAAUUCACAUAAGAGGGGGAAAAUUUAUCCUUACCAUGAAUAUACUGGACUGCUUUGCCUAAAUGAUUCAGAGGUGAUUUCCUAAAUAUAUUAAUCAUGAGUAAGAAGAAUUGUGUUCAUCUUUGUACUGUUUAUAUUAGAAUAAAGUGUUUGCCAAGCAAGGCUCUAGUUUCA
RNAcentral lists this long non-coding RNA (1511 nucleotides) under Felis catus (domestic cat). Its description in RNAcentral is "lncRNA (ENSFCAG00000051803.1)". The record is from RNAcentral. Lineage: Eukaryota; Metazoa; Chordata; Mammalia; Carnivora; Felidae.